UACGGAGGGGGCAAGCGUUAUUCGGAAUUAUUGGGCGUAAAGGGCGCGUAGGCGGCUAGAUGUGUCAAAGGUGAAAUCCCUCGGCUCAACUGAGGAACUGCCUUUGAAACUGUCUGGCUUGAGGCCGGGAGAGGGUAGCGGAAUUCCCAGUGUAGCGGUGAAAUGCGUAGAUAUUGGGAGGAACACCAGUGGCGAAGACGGCUACCUGGACCGGUUCUGACGCUGAGGCGCGAAAGCGUGGGUAGCAAACAGG
Molecule: ribosomal RNA, 253 nt
Filed under: uncultured bacterium
Lineage: Bacteria
Description: partial 16S ribosomal RNA
Rfam family: Bacterial small subunit ribosomal RNA
Source: RNAcentral